UCUAGUAUACGCAAACCUCUUCCGUUGGAAAGAGUAGCGCGUUUCGUCUCCGCCGCAGCGGCAAAAGCCGCGCCUGCUCGGUCCCUCCUUCCUCCCUUCGUGCUCGAGGUCUCUCCGAUCCUCCGACCGACGCAGCGGCAAUGGAACGGGAUCGCGGCUCAGCCCUGACGCCCGCGACGGGCGAGGAAAGGAAGGGAGGCGUACGCCGCGCCGGCGGCGGCUUGGUUCGCGGCGGCCGUCCCAGCCGCCCGUUCGCUUCGCCUCGACCGCUUCACCCGUGCUGAUCCAGGAGGUACACCCUACACCACCGCCCGGGGGAACGCCCUGCAUUGCGUGUUCGUACAAGGAUUGACCCCAAAACAAACACAUGACAUGUGACGGCAUAGUAAUAGAUGAACUCACGCUGUUGCUGAUGGAAUCGGUGUAAGCACUGACCCCGGAAGUCAUGGAGGCAGCCUGCUCUUCCCCUACAACUCCAUAGCAACUCUGCUGCUGCUCGUUCGCCAUCGCAACUUGUGAAGAAUUCUUGCUGAGCAGCAGCCAGGAGUCCACAUCGUCUUCCUUUUCCCCGAGGGUGGUGGUGGCAGCUGGUGCCUCAGCAAGCACAGAAGCAGCCGGAAUGGCUGCGGCGGGGAGCGGCAGCACAGG
This is a long non-coding RNA of Phragmites australis (common reed), 648 nucleotides long. RefSeq lists it as uncharacterized. The transcript is spliced from 3 exons. NCBI's taxonomy places the organism in Eukaryota, Viridiplantae, Streptophyta, Magnoliopsida, Poales, Poaceae. The record is from RefSeq and is a predicted model, not a curated record.